This 507-nucleotide ribosomal RNA is filed under the name uncultured bacterium. Its description in RNAcentral is "bacterial SSU rRNA". It matches the Rfam family "Bacterial small subunit ribosomal RNA", at positions 397 to 916 of the family's 1533-position model. The record is from RNAcentral.
CCGCGUGGGUGAAGAAGGUCUUCGGACUGUAAAGCCCUGUCCUGAGGGACGAAGUGAGUGACGGUACCUUAGGAGGAAGCCCCGGCUAACUACGUGCCAGCAGCCGCGGUAAUACGUAGGGGGCGAGCGUUGUCCGGAAUCACUGGGCGUAAAGGGCGUGUAGGCGGCUGUUCAAGUUGGGUGUGAAAGGCCACGGCUCAACUGUGGCAUUGCACUCGAAACUGGGCGGCUUGAGGGUGGUAGAGGAGAGCGGAAUUCCCGGUGUAGCGGUAAAAUGCGUAGAUAUCGGGAGGAACACCAGUGGCGAAGGCGGCUCUCUGGGCCAUCCCUGACGCUGAGGCGCGAAAGCUAGGGGAGCGAACGGGAUUAGAUACCCCGGUAGUCCUAGCUGUAAACGAUGGGUACUAGGUGUAGGAGGUAUCGACCCCUUCUGUGCCGGAGUUAACGCAAUAAGUACCCCGCCUGGGGAGUACGGCCGCAAGGUUGAAACUCAAAGAAAUUUGACGG